GGACUACUGGGGUUUCUAAUCCUGUUUGCUCCCCACGCUUUCGAGCCUCAGCGUCAGUCAUGGACCAGUAAGUCGCCUUCGCCACUGGUGUUCUUCCGAAUAUCUACGAAUUUCACCUCUACACUCGGAGUUCCACUUACCUCUUCCAUACUCUAGAUCGUCAGUUUUGAAGGCAGUUCCAAGGUUGAGCCCUGGGCUUUCACCCCCAACUUGACGACCCGCCUACGCUCCCUUUACGCCCAGUAAUUCCGAGCAACGCUAGCCCCCUUCGUAUUACCGCGGCGGCUGGCAC
RNAcentral lists this ribosomal RNA (292 nucleotides) under uncultured bacterium. Its description in RNAcentral is "partial 16S ribosomal RNA". The record is from RNAcentral.